AACGCGAAGAACCUUACCUGGGCUUGAACUACUGGUAGUAAGUCCUUGGAAACAGGGGCUGAUCCGCAAGGAAGCCAGCAGAGGUGCUGCAUGGUUGUCGUCAGCUCGUGUCGUGAGAUGUUGGGUUAAGUCCCGCAACGAGCGCAACCCCUAUCCAAUGUUGCUAAUCCCGUAAGGGAUGCACUCUUUGGAAACUGCCUUCGAUAAGAAGGAGGAAGGUGGGGACGACGUCAAAUCCUCAUGGCCCUUAUGUCCAGGGCCACACACGUGUUACAAUGGCCGGUACAAUGGGAAGCAAUACCGCAAGGUGGAGCCAAACCCCUAAAGCCGGCCCCAGUUCAGAUUGUGGGCUGCAACUCGCCCACAUGAAGGCGGAAUCGCUAGUAAUCGCUGAUCAGCAGGCAGCGGUGAAUACGUUCCCGGGCCUUGUA
RNAcentral lists this ribosomal RNA (431 nucleotides) under uncultured delta proteobacterium. Its description in RNAcentral is "bacterial SSU rRNA". It matches the Rfam family "Bacterial small subunit ribosomal RNA", at positions 958 to 1385 of the family's 1533-position model. RNAcentral also lists the same sequence under 1 other name. The record is from RNAcentral. Lineage: Bacteria; Deltaproteobacteria.